Molecule: transfer RNA, 77 nt
Filed under: Abyssogena phaseoliformis symbiont OG214
Lineage: Bacteria; Pseudomonadati; Pseudomonadota; Gammaproteobacteria
Also listed under: 1 other name
Description: tRNA-Pro
Rfam family: tRNA
About the family: Transfer RNA (tRNA) molecules are approximately 80 nucleotides in length. Their secondary structure includes four short double-helical elements and three loops (D, anti-codon, and T loops).
Source: RNAcentral
CGGGGCGUAGCGCAGUCUGGUAGCGCACCACACUGGGGGUGUGGUGGUCACAGGUUUAAAUCCUGUCGUCCCGACCA